AUGGAUCACCAAGGUUGUAUAACAGAAAUUGAGCUGGAAAACAUGUUGUUCGAUGAAGAUUUAGAGCCCAUCGCCCUGCCAUACUCACUUUUGAAGAAAAUCACAGAUGAUUUUUCUGAUAAGUUGGAAGUUGGAAGAGGUGGCUUCGCGGUGGUUUAUAAGGCAAUACUUGAUAAUGGUGUUGUUGCCGUAAAGAGACUGUCCAAUACGUACAUGUACGAGGAAAAAUUUCAAGGAGAGAUUGAGUGUCUCAUGAAGGCGAAGCACAAGAAUAUUGUACGAUUUCUAGGAUAUUGUUCUGACACACAAGGAAAUAUGGAAAGCUACAAUGGGAAAUGGGUUAUGGCAGAUGUACAACAAAGAUUGCUCUGCUUUGAAUAUCUGCCUAAAGGAAGUCUUGAUGGUCAUAUAACUGAUUUAUUUGGAGAAAUUGAAUGGAGAAAGCGCUACAAUAUAAUAAAGGGGGUAUGUGAGGGGUUAAAUUAUCUUCACCAAAAAAAUAUUAUGCACUUAGACUUGAAACCCGGAAAUAUAUUGUUGGAUGAGGAUAUGAUGCCGAAAAUUACUGACUUCGGACUAUCAAGGUGUUUUGAGGAAGACCAAACACGGGUCAUUACUAAAAAUGUGGCUGGAACUAUGGGAUAUUUGGCACCAGAAUGCUAUUGCGGUGAAAAAAUUGCAAUCACACACAAGUUUGACUUGUAUAGUCUUGGUGUUAUAAUUAUAGAGAUAUUGACUGGAAAGAAGGGAUAUCAGAUUGCUAUUGAGAAUGUACUUGAAAUUUGGAGUAAUAUGAUGUUGGAUGCACUGCAGUGGGAACAAUUACGAGUAUGUGCUAGGAUUGGGAUAGAGUGCACAGAUCUCGAUCCAGGGAAGAGACCAGCUAGUAUGAAGCACAUAGUUGAUGCGCUCGCGCAAACAGAAUGCAGUACGCAUUUAAGCCCUGCAGGUGGGGAAAGUGAGCUUCUUCUCCUUCAACAGUUCACAUUGUGCUUCCCCUUUGAGCCCAACAAGGUUAUCACAUGCCCCCUGCAACUAACAAACAACACAGAUAAACAUGUUGCAUUUAGGCUUACGGACAAGAGCAUGGAGUCCUCCUUCAUAAGGCUGCCGUUGUAUGGCAUUGUCCCACCUAACACCCCUUUCACUCUCAUCAUUACAACCCAAGAGAAAGAAGAGCUACCACAAAAGUAUAUCAUAGAUGUGAUCCUCCACAAUGCUACAUUGAUAUUGGAGGAUGAUGAGUAUAUAAACACUUUCCAAAGCCAGCCAGACAAUUUUUUCCGUGAGAUGGGGAAUGCAGUGCAGGAGGUGAAGCUAAAAGCACUUUAUACUCUGCCACGACACAUCACACCAUCGUUAUCUAAGCUAAUCUCUCCCACAAUCAAGAUAAUCUUACAAAUGAAAAGUCACAACAAAUAUGACGAACACAUGUAUGCCUUGGACACGAACCAGGCCAGACAAUGGAUAAUAAUCGGAGAUAGCAAUGGAUAUGUUGGCUUUUGGGACUAUCAUGCACAGAGAAAAAUAGAUUCGCUUAAAGUCUCAGCAACACACGCAAUUACGUGUGUUAAAUUUAUUGAAAGAGAGCACUGGAUUGUUGCUGGGACAGAGUAUGGUGACAUCCAAGUGUACGACUAUGAAAAAAAGAAGAUGAUCACAAGUUUCAGAGUUGGUGGCGGUGGACCAGGAGAACUCCUGUCAAUGGCCGUUCAUCCAAACAAGCCGUAUUUGCUGUCUGCGGGUUGGCAGCUGAAACUUUGGGACUGGGACAAAGAUUGGGAGUGUGUACACACAUUUGGAGAUAACUUCCAUUCAGCAUACCAAGUUGCAGUUAACCCAAAUAACACCAUUGCUACUGCUUCAGUAGAUUUAGAGGGAGACACUGUGAAGAUUUGGAGUCUUGAUUCUCCCAAAUCCAACUAUGCUUUGUCUGGGCAUUCGGGUAGAGUGACCUGCUUGGAUUACUUCACAUGCCAUGAUCAAGAAUUUUUGGUUACAGGCUCUGAUGAUCAGACUGCCAAGAUAUGGUAUUUGCAGAAGAAGAUAUGUGUGUAUACGCUUGAAGCUUUCAUAUCUCCAGUUAUGUCUGUCCUGUACCAUACCAAUCUUCAGACUUUAAUUAUAGGCUCAGAAGAUGGUGCUAUUUAUUUGUGGAGUACCGCAAAUUGCAGUCUACUUGCUGAAAAAAGACCCCAUAGGAUAUCUAUACGCCCCCCGAGGCUUACAAGAAUCAUCAAUAUUGGUUGUGUUGGAGCUGUCUACCAUCUCGCAUGUGCUAUGGGAAGCGUUGCAAUCGCAAAAGGAAACACCGUAGCAAUUAUGGAUAUCAAUAAUGUGGAUUAUCAAGAGCAAUCAACAUAUUGCAAUAAGCAGCCGUUAGGUGCCGAUACGAGACAACAUGCUGAAGACAGAGCGUCUAAGGAAGUUUCAGGGUCCAUCAACAUGCUACCUAUACUUGACAUCCACCCGCUGGAACUCUGUUUCCCCUAUCAUCCGAAUGAGCCCAUCUCAUGCUCACUGGAACUAAGAAACAACACCGAUGAAAAUGUGGCAUUUAGACUUGUAGACAAGAGCGGAAAGUCUCCAUGGUGCUUCACAAAGCUACCAUUGUACGGUAUUGUGCCUCGCAGAUCCACAUGCAAUUUGAUUGUGACAACGAAAGAGGAGAUGAAGCUAAAGGAAAAGAAAGACUUCAAUCUCGUUAUUCAGAGCAGUUUACUGAGAGAUAAGUACACCAUGGUAUUCCAAAACCAUUCUGAGUGUGAUCUUUUCUUCGAGGAAGCCAAAGAGUUUGGGAAUAUGGUACAUGAGGUAAUACUGAAAGCUGUUUAUCUGCGGUAUGAAGAGACCCCAUCUAAGGAGCAUAAUAUAUCGGUGAAGUAUAAUCCUGACGAUUUGCGAUCCAUAGAUGCACACCAAACAGAGCCUUGGAUUUUAACAGGUCAUAGAAGUGGAUAUGCCCGUCUAUGGAACCAUGAGUACCUGAUGGAUUCGUUUAAAGUCUCGGGCGAUGAAGUAAGCAUCGUCAAGUUUAUUGCAAGAAAGAAAUGGAUUGUAGUUGUGACGGCAUAUUACCUGCAUGUGUACGACUAUGCGUGUGUAACCAAAAUAGAAAAGAUUCAGCGAGUGGGACCUACUGGUUACUCGACCGACAGUCCAAUACUAGCAGUUCAUCCAACUCUCCCAUCUGUGUUGUCAAUGUUCUAUACAAAUAUAGUGGUUUUAGACAUAGACCUGGGCUGGAAGAGGACACAAAAGAUUUCGAUUCACGAUGAUGUGAAAAGAGGAGGUAAGAAGGAGCAUGUUAAGACUGCUCUCUCAUUUAACCCAGGGGACCACAACCGGUUCGUAGUUGGGUUUAAACGUGGCGAAGUACAGGUUUGGAGACUUGAUUCUCUUCGUGACCCUGAAUAUUCUUUGCUUGGGCAUUAUGGUAAUGUGACCUGCCUUGAUUUUAUCAGACGUGGAGAUCAACACUAUUUGGUCAGUGGCUCUACGGAUUGCACUGCCAAGAUCUGGGACUUACAGAAAAGGGAGUGCAUUUGUACGCUGCCAGCUAUGUCUCCAGUUCUUUGUGUCUUUGCCCAUCCGAACCUUCCACUUCUAAUUACAGGAACAAAUCAUGGUAUCAUUCAUGUGUGGAGCACCACUGAUUUCAGGCUCAUGAGAACCAUUAACUUAGGCGGUGGUGGACAUGUUGUCGGUCUCGCAUGUUUGAUGGGCUCACAGAGGAUUGUGAUUGGGCAAGAGAAGGCAAUAUCUAUCAUGGAUAUAUGUGACGAUGAUGGGUUGCGACCCAUGCUGGUGACUCCCCGGAGGCAGCAUGCUGAAAACGAGCUUACUCAAGCUAAAGCAGAGCACCGCGAAACGGAGGAGCAUGGCCAAACAAAGGAGAUGCGACUCGCGUGCCGUGCCUGGGUGCUAGCGCGGCGAGUUGAAGGGGGGCAUUGA
This 3954-nucleotide ribosomal RNA is filed under the name Triticum aestivum (bread wheat). RNAcentral's name for it is "partial small subunit ribosomal RNA". Lineage: Eukaryota; Viridiplantae; Streptophyta; Magnoliopsida; Poales; Poaceae. The record is from RNAcentral.